CCGGGCCAUAUUUAGGUUACAUAGGUUUAUGCUCAGGUUAUGUGCUGGGCCAACGUGCCAGUUCAUCUUCAUGCCAGAGUUGGUGGAUUGGUUAUCUAAUUUUCAUUCUGAUUAUCCAGUUUUGAUGUUUGGUUAUCUAAUUUUAAUGUCUGGUUAUCUAGUUUUAUUUUCUGAUUAUACAAACUCACUUCGCAUGUCCAUAUUCAGUUUUCAUAUUUUCUUCUCUGAUUGCGUAGUAGCUGACUACUAUUCAAGCUAUUUACAUGUACAAUCUAUCUAAUUC
Molecule: long non-coding RNA, 283 nt
Filed under: Elaeis guineensis (African oil palm)
Lineage: Eukaryota; Viridiplantae; Streptophyta; Magnoliopsida; Arecales; Arecaceae
Description: long non-coding RNA (EGUI_LNC036558)
Source: RNAcentral